CUCCCGCGAUCGGCAAGCCUGAGGCUUCCGGCUCGCACCCCCUUGAGCCCUGCGUCGGCUGUAUCCUUCAGCAGCAAUACCGCCGGCGGCCAGUUCCAGAAGCAUCGUAUUGAUGAGAACAAUGACGAGUCACUUGCAGCACGGACGCGACGCAAACAAGAAAGACAAGUCAUCUCCCGAAGCCGGGCUGAUGAUUAUGGUGAUUCUUAUUGGGUGAUGGACGGGCUCUGGGACUACUUCAGGUCUCCCAGAGGAUCGUCCACCGGACAAAACUCUACUACGAACUCCUCCACCUCUGAGGUGACAGAGUCGGAUGUCUCCUCGCCAUCAUCAGAGGACCUCAAGGGAAGCUCCUGGUCGUGGCGCUCGGGAGAUUCCUCUUACACUGGAGGAGGGGACUCCUUCGGAGGAGGGGACUUCUUAGGAGACUAGC
Triticum aestivum (bread wheat) is the source of this 433-nucleotide long non-coding RNA. RefSeq lists it as uncharacterized. Lineage: Eukaryota; Viridiplantae; Streptophyta; Magnoliopsida; Poales; Poaceae. The transcript has 3 exons. The record is from RefSeq and is a predicted model, not a curated record.